Molecule: small RNA, 844 nt
Filed under: Pan troglodytes (chimpanzee)
Lineage: Eukaryota; Metazoa; Chordata; Mammalia; Primates; Hominidae
Description: retained intron
Source: RNAcentral
UAGCAAGAAUAAUCUUAACACUAACCUGCAUAUUUUUGAGGUUAGGUAAUUCAGGUAUCCAGGAAGUUGGCUCUUCAAGUAGACAAAAUGGUGCCCUGAAUCUGUUUUCCUCAAGGUUCAUAUAUAAAUUUUUGAGUUUUUGUUUUUUAACUAAUCUGCCUAAAAUUUUCUGGUUCUCAUUUGUUCAUGGAAGGACUUUAGAGAAGUUUUCAAGUAAAGAUAAAGAAUAGAUUCAGAAAAAUAAUAUUAGUGUUGGUUUUGAAACAUAUUGUUAUUUUAUAUGAAGAGACCAAAAAUACACACUUCUGUUUUUCUUCAUCUGAAAGUUAGUGUUCUUACUGUAUAUCUAAAACUAUUUUCUAUGUACCCAGUAUGUCUGGAUUUGGAAUGAACAGGAAUCAGGCAUUUGGAAUGAAUAACUCCUUAUCAAGUAACAUUUUUAAUGGAACAGACGGAAGUGAAAAUGUGACAGGAUUGGACCUUUCAGAUUUCCCAGCAUUAGCAGACCGAAACAGGAGGGAAGGAAGUGGUAACCCAACUCCAUUAAUAAACCCCUUGGCUGGAAGAGCUCCUUAUGUUGGAAUGGUAACAAAACCAGCAAAUGAACAAUCCCAGGACUUCUCAAUACACAAUGAAGAUUUUCCAGCAUUACCAGGCUCCAGCUAUAAAGAUCCAACAUCAAGUAAUGAUGACAGUAAAUCUAAUUUGAAUACAUCUGGCAAGACAACUUCAAGUACAGAUGGACCCAAAUUCCCUGGAGAUAAAAGUUCAACAACACAAAAUAAUAACCAGCAGAAAAAAGGGAUCCAGGUGUUACCUGAUGGUCGGGUUACUAACAUUCCUC